CCCUGAUCCUAAAAAUCACAAAACAACUCAACCCACUCCUUAAUUCACAAUACCCACAAAUUUUCUCACUCCAAAAGCUUAAAAUUAUUAUUUUUAACUGGGUUCUUGUAGAAAUGGAUCUCCAUUUUUUCUUAACUAAACUUCACCCAAUCGCAACUACCAAAUUGAUGACCAAAAGUAAAUAGAAAAACAACGAUAAAAGCACAACAAGUCAACUAAGAGAAAAUUAAAGAGAAAGAGUGAUGCUUAACACUGAGCAAAUCACAAAGUUUUAAGCAAAAAGUUGAAUACUCACCUCGUAUAUACUGAAUCAGGGCUUAGAUAUCAAAUGGGGGAUAAACUCCAGAGAGAGGAAGAGGAGAG
This 363-nucleotide long non-coding RNA is filed under the name Panax ginseng (ginseng). RNAcentral describes it as "long non-coding RNA (PGIN_LNC009872)". The record is from RNAcentral. Lineage: Eukaryota; Viridiplantae; Streptophyta; Magnoliopsida; Apiales; Araliaceae.